AUUGAACGCUGGCGGCAGGCCUAACACAUGCAAGUCGAACGGUAGAGGGGGCAACCCCUUGAGAGUGGCGAACGGGUGAGUAAUAUAUCGGAACGUGCCCAGUCGUGGGGAUAACGUAGCGAAAGCUACGCUAAUACCGCAUACGAUCUAUGGAUGAAAGCGGGGGAUCGCAAGACCUCGCGCGAUUGGAGCGGCCGAUAUCAGAUUAGGUAGUUGGUGAGGUAAAGGCUCACCAAGCCGACGAUCUGUAGCUGGUCUGAGAGGACGACCAGCCACACUGGGACUGAGACACGGUCCAGACUCCUACGGGAGGCAGCAGUGGGAAUAUUGGACAAUGGGCGAAAGCCUGAUCCAGCCAUGCCGCGUGUGUGAAGAAGGUCUUCGGAUUGUAAAGCACUUAAGUUGGAGGAAGGUUGUAGAUUAAUACUCUGCAAUUUUGACGUUACCGACAGAAUAAGCACCGGCUAACUCUGUGCCAGCAGCC
This 484-nucleotide ribosomal RNA is filed under the name uncultured bacterium. RNAcentral describes it as "bacterial SSU rRNA". It matches the Rfam family "Bacterial small subunit ribosomal RNA", at positions 30 to 516 of the family's 1533-position model. The record is from RNAcentral.